RNAcentral lists this non-coding RNA (77 nucleotides) under Mycobacterium sherrisii. RNAcentral's name for it is "Fluoride sequence". It matches the Rfam family "Fluoride riboswitch aptamer (crcB RNA motif)". Lineage: Bacteria; Bacillati; Actinomycetota; Actinomycetes; Mycobacteriales; Mycobacteriaceae. The record is from Rfam by way of RNAcentral.
ACUGACAUCGGCGAUGGAGUCCGCCGGAAAGCUUUGCUUUCGAACCGCCGCAUAAGGCUGAUGGCGCCUGCGAACCG